Molecule: non-coding RNA, 85 nt
Organism: Orbilia brochopaga
Lineage: Eukaryota; Fungi; Ascomycota; Orbiliomycetes; Orbiliales; Orbiliaceae
Source: the annotation of a GenBank genome assembly
UCCGAUAUGGUGUAGCGGUUAACAUUGCUCGCUUUCAUUGAAAGCAAGAUCCGAGCGGCCCCGGGUUCGACUCCCGGUAUCGGAA